GGCGAGAAAGUGUAUUGGUAGCACAGUAGUCUCAUGAACUGCUAGUUUAGGUUCGAUUCCUGAUGUCGCCA
Molecule: transfer RNA, 71 nt
Organism: Rhizoctonia solani AG-1 IA
Lineage: Eukaryota; Fungi; Basidiomycota; Agaricomycetes; Cantharellales; Ceratobasidiaceae
Rfam family: tRNA
About the family: Transfer RNA (tRNA) molecules are approximately 80 nucleotides in length.
Source: Rfam